This 412-nucleotide ribosomal RNA is filed under the name uncultured bacterium. RNAcentral's name for it is "bacterial SSU rRNA". It matches the Rfam family "Bacterial small subunit ribosomal RNA", at positions 8 to 422 of the family's 1533-position model. The record is from RNAcentral.
AGAGUUUGAUCCUGGCUCAGAUUGAACGCUGGCGGCAGGCCUAACACUUGCAAGUCGAGCGGAUGAGUGGAGCUUGCUCCAUGAUUCAGCGGCGGACGGGUGAGUAAUGCCUAGGAAUCUGCCUGGUAGUGGGGGACAACGUUUCGAAAGGAACGCUAAUACCGCAUACGUCCUACGGGAGAAAGUGGGGGAUCUUCGGACCUCACGCUAUCAGAUGAGCCUAGGUCGGAUUAGCUAGUUGGUGAGGUAAGGGCUCACCAAGGCGACGAUCCGUAACUGGUCUGAGAGGAUGAUCAGUCACACUGGAACUGAGACACGGUCCAGACUCCUACGGGAGGCAGCAGUGGGGAAUAUUGGACAAUGGGCGAAAGCCUGAUCCAGCCAUGCCGCGUGUGUGAAGAAGGUCUUCGGA